RNAcentral lists this ribosomal RNA (554 nucleotides) under uncultured bacterium. RNAcentral's name for it is "partial 16S ribosomal RNA". It matches the Rfam family "Bacterial small subunit ribosomal RNA", at positions 355 to 906 of the family's 1533-position model. The record is from RNAcentral.
UGGGGAAUUUUGGACAAUGGGCGAAAGCCUGAUCCAGCAAUGCCGCGUGUGUGAAGAAGGCCUUCGGGUUGUAAAGCACUUUUGUCCGGAAAGAAAUCCUUGGCUCUAAUACAGUCGGGGGAUGACGGUACCGGAAGAAUAAGCACCGGCUAACUACGUGCCAGCAGCCGCGGUAAUACGUAGGGUGCAAGCGUUAAUCGGAAUUACUGGGCGUAAAGCGUGCGCAGGCGGUUUGCUAAGACCGAUGUGAAAUCCCCGGGCUCAACCUGGGAACUGCAUUGGUGACUGGCAGGCUAGAGUAUGGCAGAGGGGGGUAGAAUUCCACGUGUAGCAGUGAAAUGCGUAGAGAUGUGGAGGAAUACCGAUGGCGAAGGCAGCCCCCUGGCAAGUACUGACGCUCAUGCACGAAAGCGUGGGGAGCAAACNGAUUAAUNCCCUGGUAGUCCACGCCCUAAANGAUGUCAACUAGUUGUUGGGGAUUCAUUUCCUAGUAACGUAGCUAACGCGUGAAGUUGACCGCCUGGGGAGUACGGUCGCAAGAUUAAAACUUAAAU